CCUACGGGUGGCAGCAGUGAGGAAUAUUGGUCAAUGGGCGGGAGCCUGAACCAGCCAAGCCGCGUGAAGGAUGACGGUACAGCGUAUCGUAAACCUCUUUUGUCAGGGAACAAAGUCGGGGACGCGUCCCCUUAUGGAUGUACCUUAAGAAAAAGCAUCGGCUAACUCCGUGCCAGCAGCCGCGGUAAUACGGAGGAUGCGAGCGUUAUCCGGAUUUAUUGGGUUUAAAGGGUGAGCAGGCGGUCUGUUAAGUCAGCGGUAAAAGUCCGGGGCUCAACCCCGGCGAGCCGUUGAAACUGGCAGUCUUGAGUGGGAGAGAAGUACGCGGAAUGCGCGGUGUAGCGGGGAAAUGCAUAGAUAUCGCGCAGAAAUCCGAUUGCGAAGGCAGCAUACCGGCGCCACACUGACGCUGAGGCACGAAAGCGUGGGUAUCGAACAGGAUUAGAUACCCCAGUAGUC
Molecule: ribosomal RNA, 459 nt
Filed under: uncultured bacterium
Lineage: Bacteria
Description: partial 16S ribosomal RNA
Rfam family: Bacterial small subunit ribosomal RNA
Source: RNAcentral